Molecule: long non-coding RNA, 1439 nt
Filed under: Sus scrofa (pig)
Lineage: Eukaryota; Metazoa; Chordata; Mammalia; Artiodactyla; Suidae
Description: lncRNA (ENSSSCG00065066797.1)
Source: RNAcentral
CUUUUUUCCUGGACCUUAACCUUUCAGGAAACUAAACUUAAGGAGAAUUAGGGUCAGAGGUAAUUUUUCCCUCUCUCUCUGUGUGUGUGUGUGUGUGUGUGUGUGUGUUUAAACAGGCUCUGAGUCAUGAAAUCCUUGCCUAGCUUUUAUCAGGGAUCAGAAGCGGAGAUCCAGGGGGGACAUCACUGUCGUCAGAGAGAUUAUCAACCUUCCAUGGGAUUCUUAACCAUUGCUGGGCACCAAGCAAAGGUUUUUAAAACAGCCUUUCCUCAGACGGUGCUUGAUAGUGGAAGGCGGGGAUGUCGUUCUUCCUCUGGGGAAGCCUUGGGACAGAAAGAAGCAACUCCUCACCCCACCCUCUCUGCGGGGCCAGCAAGGAAACACCGCCCAGGAGCUCCGUGCGUGGAGCUGGACGGGAGAGGCUCGGAGCUGGGUUUCCUCUUAGAGGAGAAGCAACCCCCCUUCAUUCUUGGGAGGACUCGGGUGCCUGUGGUGAGCAGCAGCCACUGCUCAGUCCUGGGAAACAGAGGAGGGGAUGAGCGGAUGGGGGGAACUGCUCCAACAUCCCAAUAAGUAAAAGCUGCGCAGAUUCCAUAGGAAGAGCCAAGCGAGGCAAGGCGUCCGGGACACAGACGACGACAUACCGCCGUGAACUCACUUCGCCCUGAGUGAAGACCUGGCGGAACUACUUCCCUCAGCCUCAGGUGUCUGUUCCUUGUCACUUCCUCCAUCCCGCUGCUCAGCCUAACCUGUUCCCCCUCCAGAAAACUAAGCCAAACAACGAGCCAACAAAGCCCCCUGCCCUCUGGAGGGGCUGCUCGGUUCCUUUGGGGGCAGAGCGCGAUUACCAAAGGGCAGGACACAGGAGUCCUGAUGCCCACCAGAGGAGGCUGAGCCGAGGGAAGGUGAACCAAGAGGAUGCUUUAUUUUUCUGCUGCAUUUUUCACAAGGAGGAUGUCCUGUAAGAGGCAGGUGGAAUUAUAACUAGAUUCCAGGCAGCAGAUUGGGGAGCUGUCAGGGACGCUGGCUAGGAGCUUGUGUCCCCCCAGAUUCCUAUGUUGAAGCCCUAAUCCCCAGUGUGACUGAAUAUGGAGCUGAGGCCUUUAGGGAGGUGAUGCAGGUUGAACAGGUCAUGAAGGUGGGGCCCUGAUGCAACAGGACUGGUGUCCUUAUAAGAGACACCAGGGAGUUCCUAUCUUGGCUCCACAGAAAUGAAUCUGACUAGUAUCCAUGAGGACAAAAGUUUGAUCCCUGGCCUUGCUCAGUGGGUUAAGGAUCCAGCGUGGCCGUGAGCUGUGGUGUAGGUUGGUGGCCACAGCUCCGUGGUAACAGCUCUGAUUAAACCCCCUAGCCUGGGAACCUCCAUAGGCUUCAUGUGUGGCCCUAAAAGGACAAAAGACAAAAAUAAAUAAAUAAAAAUAAAAAUAAAAAAUAAAGUG